GCUUACGGCCAUACCACCCUGAGCACGCCCGAUCUCGUCUGAUCUCGGAGGCUAAGCAGGGUCGGGCCUGGUUAGUACUUGGAUGGCAGACCGCCUGGGAAUACCAGGUGCUGUAAGCA
Molecule: ribosomal RNA, 119 nt
Filed under: Betta splendens (Siamese fighting fish)
Lineage: Eukaryota; Metazoa; Chordata; Actinopteri; Anabantiformes; Osphronemidae
Source: RNAcentral